This 69-nucleotide non-coding RNA is filed under the name Burkholderia multivorans. Lineage: Bacteria; Pseudomonadati; Pseudomonadota; Betaproteobacteria; Burkholderiales; Burkholderiaceae. The record is from RNAcentral.
CGUCUCCUCCAUGAUGUCUCGACUGACAUGGGUUGGCCCCGCCGCGCGGAUGCAGGCGGGGCUUUUUUU